UUUUCUGAUAUUCCCAACGUCAACAUUAUCCUCACCAUUAUCUUCAUCAUUAUCAUUAUCAUUUACAAAAUUACCAAAGGAUCAUCGAAUGAAUUAUCAAUUCUUCCAGCUUUGUGACAGAAAAACAACAGUGAACAGAUUAUGGAUUAAAUAUACAAAUAUAAGUUUUUUGUCUGUCUGGAUCAGAAUAAGAUGAUUCUCAAGUUCCAGCAAUCUCCAGAUGUCCCCGUGUGAUAAGCAAAGGUGAUACAUGAAACUCUAAAGGGAUACUCAAUGCUCAACACUGAAUCGCCCAACGAUGCUGGGAUACUUCAAACGAUGUUUCGAUCAUUAAACAAAAUUUUAAAUGUUGUUGAUAGUUUAGGUUAAAUGAAUAAAAAAUUGCAAUAGGCGUAAAAAAUGUUUGCUGGCCCAGCAGCAAA
This is a long non-coding RNA of Lucilia sericata (common green bottle fly), 422 nucleotides long. RefSeq lists it as uncharacterized. The record is from RefSeq and is a predicted model, not a curated record. NCBI's taxonomy places the organism in Eukaryota, Metazoa, Arthropoda, Insecta, Diptera, Calliphoridae. The transcript has 2 exons.